CAGCACCUGCUUCUAAGUGCGGUUUUCUCCCCGAUUUGUGCCAAAAGUCCGCCCCUUUGCUCCUUACGGCACAGCGAAGGAGGCACGACGGGAGAAGCCUUCUUCAUGUACACCUACAACUCCAAGAUAUUUGAAUGCAUCCCUUUUAUAUACUCGGGAUCUGGGGGAAAUAAUAACCGCUUCUGGUCGAAAAGGGAUUGCGAGGAGACUUGCCUGGCAUCAAAUGAAGAAUGAAUGUGAUGGCCUUACAUUUAUCAAGGAUCAAAAACCUAUUACGGAGCCAUCCACAAAACCACUCACCGUUUCCCAUCAAUAAAAAAUAUACAUAAAACUCCCUGGCGUCUGUCACAUUAGCACAUCAUUCAUAAGGACAUGUGCCAAUGGUUUUCAAAUAUGUUUUCCACCAACGGCAGGGAAAACAACGAGACCAAAAACGAAAACGACUGUGUCGACCUCCCAGGCGAAUUCGCAUUCGCAGGCUCGGCGAGAUUUGCGUUUGCCAAAAUGUCAAUAAACACCCGAUGAACGGACAGCGGAGAUAUUGACAUUUA
Long non-coding RNA from Drosophila biarmipes, 551 nucleotides. RefSeq lists it as uncharacterized. The record is from RefSeq and is a predicted model, not a curated record. Lineage: Eukaryota; Metazoa; Arthropoda; Insecta; Diptera; Drosophilidae. The transcript is spliced from 3 exons.